This 364-nucleotide unclassified non-coding RNA is filed under the name uncultured Glomeraceae. RNAcentral describes it as "sequence contains ITS1". The stretch from base 1 to 107 matches the Rfam family "5.8S ribosomal RNA", at positions 50 to 154 of the family's 154-position model. Lineage: Eukaryota; Fungi; Glomeromycota; Glomeromycetes; Glomerales; Glomeraceae. The record is from RNAcentral.
GAAGUGCGAUAUGUAAUGUGAAUUGCAGAAUCUGUGAGUCAUCGAGAUCUUGAACGCACAUUGCGCCCAAAGGACACCCAACUUUGGGCACGUCUGUUUCAGUGUCGUUUUUAUCAGUUCUCAUUUCUCCUUGUGCGGCCAAGGAGCAAUGGGGUGGUUGACUGUUGACUGGUGUUGCAACGAACGUCAUCAGUUGAAAUGCACAGCAAUGGUUGGUCAGCCACUUUCCAAUGCAGCCUUCUUUGCUGAUCUUUACCAAGCGGAAAGAAGCUGCUGUAAUUGGCAAAGAGAGGUUGAUCGAUCAAACCCAGGAGACAAUUCUAAAGGCGACCUGAAAUCAGGCGAGGUUACCCGCUGAACUUAA